This 565-nucleotide ribosomal RNA is filed under the name uncultured bacterium. RNAcentral's name for it is "bacterial SSU rRNA". It matches the Rfam family "Bacterial small subunit ribosomal RNA", at positions 338 to 916 of the family's 1533-position model. The record is from RNAcentral.
CCUACGGGAGGCAGCAGUAGGGAAUUUUCCGCAAUGGGCGAAAGCCUGACGGAGCAAUACCGCGUGAGGGAUGACGGCCUGUGGGUUGUAAACCUCUUUUCUCAAGGAAGAAGUUCUGACGGUACUUGAGGAAUAAGCAUCGGCUAACUCUGUGCCAGCAGCCGCGGUAAUACAGAGGAUGCAAGCGUUAUCCGGAAUCACUGGGCAUAAAGCGUCUGUAGGUUGUUUAGUAAGUCUGCUGUUAAAGACUGGGGCUUAACCCCAGAAAAGCAGUGGAAACUGCUAGACUCGAGUGUGGUAGAGGUAGAGGGAAUUCCUAGUGUAGCGGUGAAAUGCGUAGAUAUUAGGAAGAACACCAAUGGCGAAGGCACUCUACUGGGCCAUAACUGACACUGAGAGACGACAGCUAGGGGAGCAAACGGGAUUAGAUACCCCGGUAGUCCUAGCCGUAAACGAUGGAUACUAGAUGUUGCACGUAUUAAACCCGUGCAGUAUCGUAGCUAAGGCGUUAAGUAUCCCGCCUGGGAAGUACGCUCGCAAGAGUGAAACUCAAAUGAAUUGACGG